Molecule: long non-coding RNA, 2814 nt
Organism: Gasterosteus aculeatus aculeatus (three-spined stickleback)
Lineage: Eukaryota; Metazoa; Chordata; Actinopteri; Perciformes; Gasterosteidae
Source: Ensembl
CUUUCUUGUUGCAUCAGCAAACAUUUUUUUUUCUUUAAAUGCCAAAUUUAUUCCGCAGCCUAAUCUGGAUGAUGUUGGGGCUGCAGUAUUUCCAUGUUUAUUCUCGUUAGAUAAACUAUAUAACCAGUUUGUAGGUUGUGUCUUGUUUACACUGCUGAUCCAACGAGGUCCAGAGGUAAAUAGUUGUGUAGACCGGAAGCACUGCUGGAGUUCAGGAAAGCAAUUUCCCAGUUUCGUAGCCAGUCGGUGGGAUCUUUAACUGUUUCCACCAUUUACAAACCCCUAGUUGGGACGCCCUCUUCAUUAACAGAUGUUUUUGCAAAUUGUUGUUUGGAGCAAAUAGUUUCAGGACGCCCCUGGAUCAACGGAGACUGCUUCCAAAGAAUGUAUUUUCCCCAAAUACGUAUGUUUUAGUUGUACAUGUUGUUGCUUCGUGUACACAUUUGUCAAUGCAGCCCGUACCAAGUAUUGCUCAAGCACGUGAUCUGGAGCCGGGCGGCGUCUUCAUGCUUGUCAUCGUGUGUAACUUUGUUCACUGUAGAGAGCCGUGGUUGAACAGUGAUACGUCCUUAGUCUACACAAUAGCAAUUACUCAUCUGAAAACAUAAAACACAGUGUGACAAGGUGUGCUAUUGUUCUCGCUAAACUAUUUACUGAGCCACAAGCUUUUGUUAACUUUACCGCCAAUUAAUCUGAAGAACCUCUUUUGUGUGAGAGCUUAAUCGUUUGCUAAUUAGCGUCCUUGCUAACAGACACUCUCGGUGGAAAUAUACGAUUACAUAGCCCAUCGACAGGCUCAGUAAACACCGGCUGUUUGCCAAACUGCCAAAGCAGUCGUUGUAAAACUGGAGAGGGGGCAAAUCAAUCAUGUGUGUGUGUGUCUGUGUGUGUGUGUGUGUGUGUGUGUGCGCAGCUUACUGGAUGUAAGUCUUCCAAUAUUUGUUUGCGAGUGAGUGAGUGACAGGAGAAACAGCAAAAGUGAGACACAUGCAAGAAAUACAAAUGUGAUUGUUUGGUGCAUUUUCCCGCCAGAGCGAAUCCAGUGGACACGUUGGUUGAUUUGUAAGUGAACAUGAGUCUGUGGUGUGGAUAGCCGGGGACAGGUGACCUCACACAGAUGGCUUGUGUGCUGCAAAUACUGCAAGUAGUGAGCGGACAGAGAGAGAAAACAAGGAGGAGCAGAAAGAGUGAUGUUAUCUGACGGAUGCAGGCAUGACGUGGUCAUUACCAGUAUUGGAAGGUAACCAAGUAAUUCCCACAACUUUUACAUUUUAGUAUAUUUGCUGUAGUUAACAAUCCCAUAGUACUUCUAAACCAUUUCAUAUGAUAAUCAUUUUUACUUUUUUUACUACUAAACUGAGUGAACAAAGAGCUUCUUACUUACAGUAGCUGUUCCACUUGGUCCUGCAGUCUGCGUCGUUCCAUGAAAGGCUCGUGAGAUCUGAAGAAUACGACGAUUAACAGAAACACAGCGUACAAAGUGUUGUACUCACAGGAGUUUGGAGCACAGUGUUUGUUCAAAUGAGUCUUUUGUCUCAUCCUCACUUCUGCGUCUCUCUCUGUCUGUGGAUCAGAUCCUUUGCUCUCCUGACUGAAGUUGUGCUUUUCAGUGAUGUGAGUGUAACACGCUGCGCCUCGGUUUUGAUUGUCACCGCAGGCCGACGGAUCACACGGGGCCACAGUCCAUUGGAAAAGAGCCGAGUCCCGUGUGAGGGAGAACCUCAGCAGCUCUCAGCCAACCUGCCCUCCGGGCUUCCAGCCAGUUAACGGACGUGCGUUUCAGUCAGUCAGCCAGGGUCAACUCUGCAUAGAGUGCGUGCUGGCCAAUGAGCUCCACCUCCUCCGCCUACUUCUCCCCUAAAGGACCUAAAACCACCCAUCUAUCUGCUGAUAUAUCCAUCACCCCAUCGAUCCAUCCAUCUAUCCAUUGAUCUACCGAUCCCGUGUUAUCAGUGUCACUCAGUGUCUCUCUCCCACUGAGUCUCUGUCAGUCACGUUGAGCUGCACUUCACUUCCAGCGGUGGCAUGGUUGUCAUGGUGAUCGACCCCGGGGGACUCAUCCCAAAACCCAAAGUUCUGCUUGUCUGAAAUAGAACCUCCGCCUCUCUCCAGGGGGCUCGGGGUACAUUUGGCACAUAGGGAGCCAGCGAGAGAAGCAGAGAGAGAGAGAGAGAAAAUGAGGCAGUGCAUCCAUUCCAACUGGGUCACAUCACGGGAGCAUUGCGUAAGCAUAAACACUGCUGUCCUGUGCUAUGCCCUCAGCGCACACACACACACACACACACACACACACACACACACACACACAAAGCGGAUCAAGCGUUCUGUGCGACAGUCUGUUGUGUUUCUCAGGUACCGUAGAGCACCAAGCUGUGGUCCAUAUCUACUCUCUUGUGCUCUCUCUCUCUCUCUCUCUCUCUCUCUCUCUCUCUCUCACAGCGGAUUAUAAGGAAAGAGCACCAUGACAGCAGUGAGUGAACCCUCGUCUUUGCCAGACGUGGACAGCAGCAUGACGUGGCUCUUUUUUUGCCUGCUCCAUACCCAAACACAUUUACAUGUUUCUGCAGACAUUAGUUUGUGUUCUCAAUGUACCCUGUUGUCAUCAGAACCUUAUGUUACUGGCUUAGAGGAAUUAAGGAUUUUAGCUAUUCAGACUCACAUAUGUUUUGUUUGCUCCAACAGGUCCUGAAUUACGCUUUAGAAGACGAUCCUCCUCAAUGUCUUAGUGCAUUUAUCCAACUUUGCAGUAUCGCUUUAUUUCCCAACAAUUUCCUCUCGGUGGUGGAGCAGCUGCACAGUGGCAGUGCUUCGAGC